UACGGAGGGUGCAAGCGUUAUCCGGAUUCACUGGGUUUAAAGGGUGCGUAGGUGGGCUGGUAAGUCAGUGGUGAAAUCCCCAAGCUUAACUUGGGAACUGCCAUUGAUACUAUCAGUCUUGAAUACCGUGGAGGUUAGCGGAAUAUGUCAUGUAGCGGUGAAAUGCUUAGAUAUGACAUAGAACACCGAUUGCGAAGGCAGCUGGCUACACGAAUAUUGACACUGAGGCACGAAAGCGUGGGGAUCAAACAGG
Molecule: ribosomal RNA, 253 nt
Filed under: uncultured bacterium
Lineage: Bacteria
Description: partial 16S ribosomal RNA
Rfam family: Bacterial small subunit ribosomal RNA
Source: RNAcentral